CCUACGGGAGGCAGCAGUGGGGAAUAUUGCACAAUGGGGGAAACCCUGAUGCAGCGACGCCGCGUGAGUGAAGAAGCGUUUCGGCGCGUAAAGCUCUGUCAGCGGGGAAGAAACACUGUUCGCGAGAGCCGCGGACGGUACCCGACCAAGAAGCCCCGGCUAACUACGGGUCAGCAGCCGCGGUAAUACGUAGGGGGCAAGCGUUAUCCGGAUGCACUGGGUGGAAAGGGAGGGUAGACGGCGAGACAAGACUGAGGUGAAAGGCCCGGGCUCAACCCCGGGACUGCCCUGGAAACUGCCUGGCUAGAGUGUAGUAGAGGUAGGUGGAAUGCCUGGUGUAGCGGUGAAAUGCGUAGAUAUUAGGAGGAACACCAGUGGCGAAGGCGGCUUACUGGACUAUAACUGACGUUGAGGCUCGAAAGCGUGGGGAGCAAACAGGAUUAGAUACCCGUGUAGUC
Molecule: ribosomal RNA, 458 nt
Filed under: uncultured bacterium
Lineage: Bacteria
Description: partial 16S ribosomal RNA
Rfam family: Bacterial small subunit ribosomal RNA
Source: RNAcentral